UUUUUUUUUUUUUUUUGUCUCAGAAAAGUGGCGACUUCGGUGGCAGCCCAGACCGAGAGGAAGCUUAAAAAUAAGUUGGGAAGUAGUCGCUUGGUUAUUAAGCGUGGAGCGUUAUUUAUUCAAUGGCAAAAUACUAAUCCUACUCAUGAUUGUGGAUUUGGCUAGUGCUGAGGGGCAGAGGAGGAGUCCGGGGUUGGGUGGCUUGUGGGACAGAAUAUUCAUUCAGACAAAUCAGAAAGGGCACUUGAAAAUAAAUUUUGAUUCUGAGCCAGGAGAAAAAAAAACUUGAAAUGUAGACUUAUUUAAGUGGGGGAAAAAAACCAGAAAGAGACACGUUGCUAUGAAAAGACUUGUAUUUUUUAUUGUCUCUGAACUUUAAUCCUGUGAAAAUGCUCAAAAGUUUUGGCAAGAGUGAUAUAAAAAAAAAAAAACUGACUGUGGCUGAAAGAAUUGCAUUUAAAAAUAUUUAUGUGCACCUUGUUACUUUUCACUCUGCGAUGAUGUAUUAACAAUUCAUGGUAUUUAUUUGUUAUUCUUCAAUGACCCUUCCACAUCAACAGUAUUUAUCAUGUGUUAAGGUCAUGGGUCUUAUGUGCAGAUUUUUUUAAUGCCUCUAAAAUUCUGUUUUAUAGAUUAACUUAUACUGUGUGCCAAGUGUUUAAAAGGUUUAUUUGCCAACAAGUAUGAAGAGACAUAUUGAUGUAUCUGAGCUGCUUAGGUUUAUCAAAGGUCACCUGGAUACUUUCAGUUGCAUCAUCCCUGUAUUUAAAUUGAGCUUUAAUAAAUUGCUUCAGUCCAAAAAUUACAGGAAAGGUGUAUUCUUAAUUGAUGAAUGAAUUGAUCUCUUUUUUUGAAAGGGGACUCCUUUGCAUUCUAAAAGGGAAAGACAUCACAGCAAUAGAUCCUAUAAGUAAGAACAUGCUAAGCAAAUAUUUUUCCAGGCUGUGCUGUGCAUUUUUAAAAGGUCUAAUUUAAUUGCUUUUAAUGUAUAUGUACAUAUAUAAGUUAUUUUAACUGUGGAGAAUUAUUUAAGUUAAAAGACUGGUUUGAUUUGCCUAUGGUGUGAAAUCCUUUGUUAUUUUUCUAAAAAAAAAUAAUAAAAUUUAAAAAGAAAUAAAAUAAAACUAAGGAAGAGCAAGAAGCUAUUUACCCAAAGUGAGCUUUCAGUUUUAGUUUGCAUGGCUGUUUGCCUGCCUUUCUAUCCUAUGAAAAUCAAGAAAACCUUUUUUAAAAAUGGAGUCCUGCUAUUUUCCACUCCUUGCAGAUAAUACAAAUUCAGUUUGUCAGGUUGGAUGGCGAGUUGGGAGCUAUGAUGGAUCUACUGGCGGGUUUUGGAUGUGUAAAGAAUGAUAUAUAUAUUAAAUAGGUCAAUCAGACUAUGACAGCUAUGUACGACCAUUUGUAUGUGUAUCUAUGUCAGAAAGAAUCUUUAUUAAAAUAUUUUG
This 1445-nucleotide long non-coding RNA is filed under the name Canis lupus familiaris (dog). Its description in RNAcentral is "lncRNA (ENSCAFG00000051707.1)". The record is from RNAcentral. Lineage: Eukaryota; Metazoa; Chordata; Mammalia; Carnivora; Canidae.